Molecule: ribosomal RNA, 491 nt
Filed under: uncultured bacterium
Lineage: Bacteria
Description: partial 16S ribosomal RNA
Rfam family: Bacterial small subunit ribosomal RNA
Source: RNAcentral
AGUGAACGCUGGCGGUAGGCCUAACACAUGCAAGUCGAACGGCAGCACAGUAAGAGCUUGCUCUUACGGGUGGCGAGUGGCGGACGGGUGAGGAAUACAUCGGAAUCUACUUUUUCGUGGGGGAUAACGUAGGGAAACUUACUCUAAUACCGCAUACGACCUACGGGUGAAAGCAGGGGAUCUUCGGACCUUGCGCGAUUGAAUGAGCCGAUGUCGGAUUCGCUAGUUGGCGGGUUAAAGGCCCACCAAGGCGACGAUCCGUAGCUGGUCUGAGAGGAUGAUCCGCCACACUGGAACUGAGACACGGUCCAGACUCCUACGGGAGGCAGCAGUGGGGAAUCUUCGACAGUGGGCGCUAGCCUGUUCCAGACAUACCGCGUGGGUGAAGAAGGCCUUCGGGUUGUAAAGGACUUUUGUUGGGAAAGAAAAGAAGCAGGUUAAUACCCCGCUGUUCUGACGGUACCCAAAGAAUAAGCACCGGCUAACUUCGU